ACCGGAGGGCCAGUACCGUAGCACCACCACCACGAUCACCAUCUUCAUGUUGUGGUGUUUCUGUUUCUUUUUAGGGGUUUUUUUUCCUCAAAAAAGAAAGAAAGGAAAGAGGGAAGGAGAAGAGGGAGGGGCGGUGACUGGAGGGUCACCACUGUCACACCACCACCACUGUCACCAUCUGGUGUCUGUUUAUUGGGGGUUUUGACCUCCAUACGAAUGCUGGGCUCUCUCCAUUUAGCACCGCCUCUGUUUCUCUCUCUGCAAAUUUCUCUCUCUCAACGGUCGGGGAAAUGAACAUUUAUCUUCGUGGUUUGUUCCGAUUGACCUAUUUUGGUGGUCAUCUCUCCUUGAGGUUUUCAGUUGCAGCCAUGGACUUCUAUUUGGCUUUAGAACUCUGAGCCUGGGAUGGGAAGUGCAACCAUCUUUUGUUGUUUAUGAUUUGUCAAGUUUUAGGCAUCUUUUUUAAAAAGACAGAGGAGCUAAUCAUUUUGUGGUUGCUUGCUUGCUAAUGAACUGAAGUAUCGCUACCCAUAUGCAAAGGUAAAGAACCCUAAUCUUUGAUGAUUUCUGCAAAAUACUGUUCACGAGAUUUUUUUGAGUCUUUUCAUUGUUUGUAUCUUGCAACUUUAUGUUGAAAUCAUUUUCUUUUUGUUGAGAAUGAUAAUCUAUAUAGACAAUAGUCUUAUGUCGCUUUUAUUGAGGGUGCAAUCUCUAGGUAUGUAUUAUGCCUACCUAAACUUAUAGUUAAAUUACUAUGACCAAACGCAAAUGACGUAUGGAAGAGGAUGUGGAGGGUUAAUUUCAGUUCAAAAUGCAUAGGCCUGGUGAAGACGCAUGUAAGAACCGUCAUGAGGGUUUCAGUUCAAGAUGUGUGAACCUGUUUAUGGUUGUAUGAAGAUGGGUUUAAUCUUUGAUUUGUGAACUGUGUUUGAUGUGUUGUUUUGUGGUAAUGUGAUUGAUCUGAUUAGGGUUUGCUUGAUUGGUUUAAGAUAAAGUGGGGAAGAGUGGGUCAAAAAACGUUCAAAUAUUAACGAUGCGAGAUUGGCAAAGAUCAGUAGGGUAUGUAACGUGGUGUUAUAUGCCAGCAUCUCCAUUUCUCUGUUGAAGAUCAAUUAACUAUUAUGUAUGUAUCCUUGAUGUAGCACUUCUUUGGGGGGAGCAAUGGGCGUCUUCACCACGCAACCACUUCUACACUCUGUUAAAAGUCAAGCUAUGCCAGGUGUUGGUUAAGGAAGGAUGGUGUGAUCAUAGAGGAACAUGGCAAGAUGUUAAAGCCAAGAUUCAAAUAAGGCAAGAAGGUGCCUUUAAACGUGAAUGAGCGCUAGCAUAUGAUCUUGCUCAGGAGGUAAUGAAUCCUUACCUACUUGAGAUUGUAAAAUGGGUGGGUCAGGCCUGUUCCGUAAAGGUUCAAAUGGGUUAACAUUUUUUGUUAACCAUAAGGUUAAACAUUAGCUGAAUGGUGCCUAUGGUCAUAGAAACCGGUGAAACCACCGGCUGGACCAUUGGGCACUGGGUUGGUUAUAGCUUCACACAUUGCAGGUGUAUUAUAUACAGAUCAAGGGGGAUAGCUAUUGAAUGUAACUAUUAUGUGUUGACUGGUAACACUGGUUCAUGCCAUAGUGAUCAACGGGAUUCUUAAGAUCAACAGUGGGGACAGUUUCUUUUCAACAUUUGUGGGCCUCGAGUCGAGUCCCAUCUGAUGAUGCAGAACGGCCUGAAUACAAGCUCUUAUUAUACAAGAUACUGCAGGUGAAAGCACUAGCGACACAAAGAAGACUAGGUACUCGGAUGCAUGAAGAAAAAAACUUUUGUGAUUUAUGUAUAACUAGAAGACUAUGUUCGUACUUCUAUAAUUCUCUUAAUAUGUCACGUUGAGACACAUCAACAACUUUUUGUAUCAACUUCAUUACUACAAAUGAAAUGUUCAA
Molecule: long non-coding RNA, 1928 nt
Organism: Helianthus annuus (common sunflower)
Lineage: Eukaryota; Viridiplantae; Streptophyta; Magnoliopsida; Asterales; Asteraceae
Exons: 5
Source: RefSeq, a predicted model, not a curated record